This 308-nucleotide unclassified non-coding RNA is filed under the name Hevea brasiliensis (rubber tree). The record is from RNAcentral. Lineage: Eukaryota; Viridiplantae; Streptophyta; Magnoliopsida; Malpighiales; Euphorbiaceae.
UAGAAACAAGAGAUUCGAACGGAGAAACAAUGCCUCAACCAGCUUGCCAGUUAGUCAAAAUUUGCCCAAUAAUCAGUGAAUUAUAAAAAAGUGGUAAAAGGCAUUACCUUCAUUCUCUUGAUUUUAAAAACCUGUGAAGUGUUCAAUUUCCAAUGCUAGAGAUUGCCUUCCAAUAGAACACUCUGCCCAGACAUCCUGGGCUGCAAACUCUUCAUCUUCAGAUUUUCAGCCAUACUCUUGAACAAAGUUUGAGAGUUCCCACUCUGGCUCUCACUCCAUUGUGGCAACACUUCCACAACUACUUUUUG